UGGCUCAGAACGAACGCUGGCGGCAGGCCUAACACAUGCAAGUCGAGCGCACCUUCGGGUGAGCGGCGGACGGGUGAGUAACGCGUGGGAAUAUGCCCUUCUCUACGGAAUAGCCUCGGGAAACUGAGAGUAAUACCGUAUACGCCCUUCGGGGGAAAGAUUUAUCGGAGAAGGAUUAGCCCGCGUUAGAUUAGAUAGUUGGUGGGGUAAUGGCCUACCAAGUCUACGAUCUAUAGCUGGUUUUAGAGGACGAUCAGCCACACUGGGACUGAGACACGGCCCAGACUCCUACGGGAGGCAGCAGUGGGGAAUCUUAGACAAUGGGCGCAAGCCUGAUCUAGCCAUGCCGCGUGAGUGAAGAAGGUCUUAGGAUCGUAAAGCUCUUUCGCCAGGGAUGAUAAUGACAGUACCUGGUAAAGAAACCCCGGCUAACUCCGUGCCAGCAGCCGCGGUAAUACGGAGGGGGUUAGCGUUGUUCGGAAUUACUGGGCGUAAAGCGCGCGUAGGCGGAUCAGAAAGUUGGGGGUGAAAUCCCAGGGCUCAACCCUGGAACUGCCUCCAAAACUCCUGGUCUUGAGUUCGAGAGAGGUGAGUAGAAUUCCAAGUGUAGAGGUGAAAUUCGUAGAUAUUUGGAGGAAUACCAGUGGCGAAGGCGGCUCACUGGCUCGAUACUGACGCUGAGGUGCGAAAGUGUGGGGAGCAAACAGGAUUAGAUACCCUGGUAGUCCACACCGUAAACGAUGAAUGCCAGUCGUCGGGCAGUAUACUGUUCGGUGACACACCUAACGAAUUAAGCAUUCCGCCUGGGGAGUACGGUCGCAAGAUUAAAACUCAAA
RNAcentral lists this ribosomal RNA (836 nucleotides) under uncultured marine bacterium. RNAcentral describes it as "bacterial SSU rRNA". It matches the Rfam family "Bacterial small subunit ribosomal RNA", at positions 20 to 905 of the family's 1533-position model. The record is from RNAcentral.